This 250-nucleotide ribosomal RNA is filed under the name uncultured bacterium. Its description in RNAcentral is "partial 16S ribosomal RNA". It matches the Rfam family "Bacterial small subunit ribosomal RNA", at positions 93 to 339 of the family's 1533-position model. The record is from RNAcentral.
UAGUGGCGAAAGGGUGAGUAACGCGUGAGUAACCUGUCCUGAGGUUGGGAAUAGCUCGGGGAAACCCGGAUUAAUACCGAAUGUGGUUGGUCGAGUUUCGACAUGAUCAACUAAAGGCCGCAAGGCCGCCUUUGGAGGGACUCGCGUCCCAUCAGCUAGUUGGCGGGGUAAUGGCCCACCAAGGCAACGACGGGUAGGUGGUCUGAGAGGAUGGUCACCCACACUGGGACUGAGACACUGCCCAGACUCC